Molecule: ribosomal RNA, 400 nt
Filed under: uncultured bacterium
Lineage: Bacteria
Description: partial 16S ribosomal RNA
Rfam family: Bacterial small subunit ribosomal RNA
Source: RNAcentral
CCUACGGGAGGCAGCAGUGAGGAAUAUUGGUCAAUGGACGCAAGUCUGAACCAGCCAUGUCGCGUGCAGGAAGACUGCUCUAUGAGUUGUAAACUGCUUUUGUACGAGAGUAAACCCAGACACGCGUACCUGUCUGCAAGUAUUUUACGAAUAAGGAUCGGCUAACUCCGUGCCAGCAGCCGCGGUAAUACGGAGGAUUCAAGCGUUAUCCGGAUUUAUUGGGUUUAAAGGGAGCGUAGGUGGUCGGUUAAGUUAGUGGUGAAAGCCCGAGGCUCAACGUCGAAAUUGCCUUUGAUACGGGUCGGCUAGAGAAUAGUUGCGGUAGGCGGAAGGUGUGGUGUAGCGGUGAAAUGCUUAGAGAUCAUACAGAACACCGAUUGCGAAGGCAGCUUACCAAGCU